UGGGGAAUAUUGCACAAUGGGCGAAAGCCUGAUGCAGCGACGCCGCGUGAGGGAUGACGGCCUUCGGGUUGUAAACCUCUUUCAGUAGGGACGAAGCGCAAGUGACGGUACCUGCAGAAGAAGCACCGGCUAACUACGUGCCAGCAGCCGCGGUAAUACGUAGGGUGCGAGCGUUGUCCGGAAUUACUGGGCGUAAAGAGCUCGUAGGCGGUUUGUCACGUCGUCUGUGAAAUCCUAGGGCUUAACCCUGGACGUGCAGGCGAUACGGGCUGACUUGAGUACUACAGGGGAGACUGGAAUUUCUGGUGUAGCGGUGGAAUGCACAGAUAUCAGGAAGAACACCGAUGGCGAAGGCAGGUCUCUGGGUAGUAACUGACGCUGAGGAGCGAAAGCAUGGGUAGUGAACAGG
RNAcentral lists this ribosomal RNA (409 nucleotides) under bacterium. RNAcentral describes it as "partial 16S ribosomal RNA". It matches the Rfam family "Bacterial small subunit ribosomal RNA", at positions 355 to 776 of the family's 1533-position model. The record is from RNAcentral.